GGGUUGUGAGGUUAAGCGAACAAGCGUACACGGUGGAUGCCCUGGCAGUCAGAGGCGAUGAAGGACGUGCUAAUCUGCGAAAAGCGCCGGUAAGGUGAUAUGAACCGUUAUAACCGGCGAUGUCCGAAUGGGGAAACCCGGUGCACUUCGGUGCAUCAUCGUUAGCUGAAUACAUAGGCUAACGAGGCGAACCGGGGGAACUGAAACAUCUAAGUACCCCGAGGAAAAGAAAUCAACCGAGAUUCCCCCAGUAGCGGCGAGCGAACGGGGAACAGCCCAGAGCCUGAAUCAGCUUGUGUGUCAGUGGAACGGUCUGGAAAGGCCGGCGAUACAGGGUGACAGCCCCGUACACGAAGGCACACAGGCUGUGAGCUCGAUGAGUAGGGCGGGACACGUGAUAUCCUGUCUGAAGAUGGGGGGACCAUCCUCCAAGGCUAAAUACUCCUGACUGACCGAUAGUGAACCAGUACCGUGAGGGAAAGGCGAAAAGAACCCCGGCGAGGGGAGUGAAACAGAACCUGAAACCGUGUACGUACAAGCAGUGGGAGCCUUCGUAAGAGGGUGACUGCGUACCUUUUGUAUAAUGGGUCAGCGACUUAUAUUCUGUAGCAAGGUUAACCGUAUAGGGGAGCCGAAGGGAAACCGAGUCUUAACCGGGCGUUAAGUUGCAGGGUAUAGACCCGAAACCCGGUGAUCUAGCCAUGGGCAGGUUGAAGGUUGGGUAACACUAACUGGAGGACCGAACCGACUAAUGUUGAAAAAUUAGCGGAUGACCUGUGGCUGGGGGUGAAAGGCCAAUCAAACCGGGAGAUAGCUGGUUCUCCCCGAAAGCUAUUUAGGUAGCGCCUCGUGAACUCAUCUCCGGGGGUAGAGCACUGUUUCGGCUAGGGGGCCAUCCCGGCUUACCAACCCGAUGCAAACUGCGAAUACCGGAGAAUGUUAUCACGGGAGACACACGGCGGGUGCUAACGUCCGUCGUGAAGAGGGAAACAACCCAGACCGCCAGCUAAGGUCCCAAAGUCAUGGUUAAGUGGGAAACGAUGUGGGAAGGCCCAGACAGCCAGGAUGUUGGCUUAGAAGCAGCCAUCAUUUAAAGAAAGCGUAAUAGCUCACUGGUCGAGUCGGCCUGCGCGGAAGAUGUAACGGGGCUAAACCAUGCACCGAAGCUGCGGCAGCGACACUAUGUGUUGUUGGGUAGGGGAGCGUUCUGUAAGCCUGUGAAGGUGUGCUGUGAGGCAUGCUGGAGGUAUCAGAAGUGCGAAUGCUGACAUAAGUAACGAUAAAGCGGGUGAAAAGCCCGCUCGCCGGAAGACCAAGGGUUCCUGUCCAACGUUAAUCGGGGCAGGGUGAGUCGACCCCUAAGGCGAGGCCGAAAGGCGUAGUCGAUGGGAAACAGGUUAAUAUUCCUGUACUUGGUGUUACUGCGAAGGGGGGACGGAGAAGGCUAUGUCGGCCGGGCGACGGUUGUCCCGGUUUAAGCGUGUAGGCUGACUUUCCAGGCAAAUCCGGAAGGUUAAGGCUGAGGCGUGAUGACGAGGCACCACGGUGCUGAAGUGACAAAUGCCCUGCUUCCAGGAAAAGCCUCUAAGCAUCAGGUAACAUCAAAUCGUACCCCAAACCGACACAGGUGGUCAGGUAGAGAAUACCAAGGCGCUUGAGAGAACUCGGGUGAAGGAACUAGGCAAAAUGGUGCCGUAACUUCGGGAGAAGGCACGCUGACAUGUAGGUGAAGCCCCUGCGGGUGGAGCUGAAGUCAGUCGAAGAUACCAGCUGGCUGCAACUGUUUAUUAAAAACACAGCACUGUGCAAACACGAAAGUGGACGUAUACGGUGUGACGCCUGCCCGGUGCCGGAAGGUUAAUUGAUGGGGUUAUCGCAAGAGAAGCUCCUGAUCGAAGCCCCGGUAAACGGCGGCCGUAACUAUAACGGUCCUAAGGUAGCGAAAUUCCUUGUCGGGUAAGUUCCGACCUGCACGAAUGGCGUAAUGAUGGCCAGGCUGUCUCCACCCGAGACUCAGUGAAAUUGAACUCGCUGUGAAGAUGCAGUGUACCCGCGGCAAGACGGAAAGACCCCGUGAACCUUUACUACAGCUUGACACUGAACAUUGAGCCUUGAUGUGUAGGAUAGGUGGGAGGCUUUGAAGCGUGGACGCCAGUCUGCGUGGAGCCGACCUUGAAAUACCACCCUUUAAUGUUUGAUGUUCUAACCUGGCGCCGUGAUCCGGCGUGGGGACAGUGUCUGGUGGGUAGUUUGACUGGGGCGGUCUCCUCCCAAAGUGUAACGGAGGAGCACGAAGGUCAGCUAAUCCUGGUCGGACAUCAGGAGGUUAGUGCAAUGGCAUAAGCUGGCUUGACUGCGAGAGUGACGGCUCGAGCAGGUGCGAAAGCAGGUCAUAGUGAUCCGGUGGUUCUGUAUGGAAGGGCCAUCGCUCAACGGAUAAAAGGUACUCCGGGGAUAACAGGCUGAUACCGCCCAAGAGUUCAUAUCGACGGCGGUGUUUGGCACCUCGAUGUCGGCUCAUCACAUCCUGGGGCUGAAGUAGGUCCCAAGGGUAUGGCUGUUCGCCAUUUAAAGUGGUACGCGAGCUGGGUUUAGAACGUCGUGAGACAGUUCGGUCCCUAUCUGCCGUGGGCGCUGGAGAAUUGAGGGGGGCUGCUCCCAGUACGAGAGGACCGGAGUGGACGCAUCACUGGUGUUCGGGUUGUCAUGCCAAUGGCACUGCCCGGUAGCUAAAUGCGGAAGAGAUAAGUGCUGAAAGCAUCUAAGCACGAAACUUGCCCCGAGAUGAGUUCUCCCUGAGACUGUAAGUCUCCUGAAGGAACGUUGAAGACGACGACGUUGAUAGGCCGGGUGUGUAAGCGCAGCGAUGCGUUGAGCG
Molecule: ribosomal RNA, 2878 nt
Filed under: Cronobacter sakazakii
Lineage: Bacteria; Pseudomonadati; Pseudomonadota; Gammaproteobacteria; Enterobacterales; Enterobacteriaceae
Description: 23S ribosomal RNA
Rfam family: Bacterial large subunit ribosomal RNA
Source: RNAcentral